Long non-coding RNA from Scophthalmus maximus (turbot), 779 nucleotides. RefSeq lists it as uncharacterized. The record is from RefSeq and is a predicted model, not a curated record. The transcript is spliced from 2 exons. Lineage: Eukaryota; Metazoa; Chordata; Actinopteri; Pleuronectiformes; Scophthalmidae.
CCUCCUCUUUCUUCAUUUCCUUCAAUUUCCUACACAAUGACGCACACAUUCUGACUGACAUGCGAACCUGCUUUGCAAGCCUACAGGCUUAGUGUCAUCUUCGAUAUCCAACAAAGCCUUGAUGUAACAUGUCAAUGUGUUACAAUGCAUAGAAGAUAGAAACAUCAUCAGCCAGUCCUCAGCCUUUUCCCUCGAUGUGCAGACUGCCAAUAUAAAGGAACCCGGAGAAAGAGAUGACCUGCAUGCGUGGAUCAUGGGAUAACAUUCUAACAGUGGCAACUGCUGUUGCCAGUGCCAUGGGCAUGGAACCCACGUUGGAAAUGAGACAGAGAAAGAGGAAGCGUUUUUUUGGUGAUCCAAAACAGAGAGAGGAGGGGGAAAGCCAAGACACCCUAUUCAGAAAUAGGGUGUUCAAUGUUGUAUUCGACAGCGUCAUCUCUCAGCUAAGUGCGCUGUAAUUCAGAAACAUACCAAAAGACGAAAUCAGCGCAACCUGCAAAAAGUUAUCCUGGAAAUAUGUAAAUGAUAUCACAACUUCACUUGAAGAUCAGAUUAAGUCUGUUAAGUCAGUCAAUACUAAUCAGACCAAAAUAUAUUGUACACAAAUUUUGUAGUACAUACUAUUGUAAACACAGCAAAGAGUGCAAGUGUGUUUAGUGUUUUUGCUAAGUGUCUGAGCUGAGGUUUUGCUCCUUGAUUGUUAUGUUUUACCAACUGUGUGUUACAUUUAAUUUCAGUGUGUAAGCAAACAAUCUGUAAUAAAAAAAAAUGUCAUGGUU